Molecule: transfer RNA, 87 nt
Filed under: Acidimicrobiaceae bacterium
Lineage: Bacteria; Bacillati; Actinomycetota; Acidimicrobiia; Acidimicrobiales; Acidimicrobiaceae
Also listed under: 2 other names
Description: tRNA-Leu
Rfam family: tRNA
About the family: Transfer RNA (tRNA) molecules are approximately 80 nucleotides in length.
Source: RNAcentral
GCCCGGGUGGCGGAAUUGGCAGACGCGGAGGACUCAAAAUCCUCUGGCCGUGAGGUCGUGCGGGUUCAAGUCCCGCCCCGGGCACCA